This 69-nucleotide transfer RNA is filed under the name Doa sp. MJT-2014. RNAcentral's name for it is "tRNA-His". Lineage: Eukaryota; Metazoa; Arthropoda; Insecta; Lepidoptera; Doidae. The record is from RNAcentral.
ACUUAAAUAAUUUAAUAAAAAUAUUGAUUUGUGGGAUCAAAAAUAUGAAAAUUUAUUUCAUUUUAGGUU